RNAcentral lists this small RNA (127 nucleotides) under Caenorhabditis elegans. Its description in RNAcentral is "Unclassified non-coding RNA F09E5.24". Lineage: Eukaryota; Metazoa; Nematoda; Chromadorea; Rhabditida; Rhabditidae. The record is from RNAcentral.
GGUCCCUGUGAAUCGGUUCGGAAUAAUGAGACGGGAUUUUUGGUUGAUCAAACGGCCGAAGCGUUUGCUGAGAAAAUGAUUGAUUUGAUGAAAGAUGAGGAAAUGUAUCGAAGAAUGAGUGAGGAAG